This 405-nucleotide ribosomal RNA is filed under the name uncultured bacterium. RNAcentral describes it as "bacterial SSU rRNA". It matches the Rfam family "Bacterial small subunit ribosomal RNA", at positions 356 to 773 of the family's 1533-position model. The record is from RNAcentral.
GGGGAAUAUUGGACAAUGGGCGAAAGCCUGAUCCAGCAACGCCGCGUGAGGGAUGACUGCCUUCGGGUUGUAAACCUCUUUCAGUAGGGACGAAGCGCAAGUGACGGUACCUACAGAAGAAGCACCGGCCAACUACGUGCCAGCAGCCGCGGUAAUACGUAGGGUGCGAGCGUUGUCCGGAAUUAUUGGGCGUAAAGGGCUCGUAGGCGGUUUGUCACGUCGGGAGUGAAAACCAGGUGCUUAACACCUGGCCUGCUUCCGAUACGGGCAGACUAGAGGUAUGCAGGGGAGAACGGAAUUCCUGGUGUAGCGGUGAAAUGCGCAGAUAUCAGGAGGAACACCGGUGGCGAAGGCGGUUCUCUGGGCAUUACCUGACGCUGAGGAGCGAAAGUGUGGGGAGCGAAC